AAUAAGAAUAAUUUGAGAAACUUGUGUGACAACACGAGCGUAUUUUGGAAGCACAUAGGUAUCGUGAAAUGGUUGACUACCCGGUGAAUCACCUGAAAUACAAUCAUCAACAUCUGUCAUGAUAGAACUUGCAUGCAAAUUCACACCACUGUAAUCUCCACUCUUUAAGAGUUGUUGAGCUUCGAAAACCUCACCAAGGGCUCCUUCGCUUUCUCCAAAAUUCGACAAACAAUUCUUGUAAUGAGUUUUUGCUUUGCGAUCCCUACUUUGUGUACUU
RNAcentral lists this long non-coding RNA (277 nucleotides) under Cicer arietinum (chickpea). RNAcentral describes it as "long non-coding RNA (CARI_LNC003687)". Lineage: Eukaryota; Viridiplantae; Streptophyta; Magnoliopsida; Fabales; Fabaceae. The record is from RNAcentral.